This 447-nucleotide ribosomal RNA is filed under the name uncultured bacterium. Its description in RNAcentral is "bacterial SSU rRNA". It matches the Rfam family "Bacterial small subunit ribosomal RNA", at positions 329 to 793 of the family's 1533-position model. The record is from RNAcentral.
GACCAGACUCCUACGGGAGGCAGCAGUGGGGAAUAUUGCACAAUGGGGGAAACCCUGAUGCAGCGACGCCGCGUGAGUGAAGAAGUAUUUCGGUAUGUAAAGCUCUAUCAGCAGGGAAGAAAAUGACGGUACCUGACUAAGAAGCCCCGGCUAACUACGUGCCAGCAGCCGCGGUAAUACGUAGGGGGCAAGCGUUAUCCGGAUUUACUGGGUGUAAAGGGAGCGUAGACGGCAUGGCAAGUCAGAUGUGAAAGCCCGGGGCUCAACCCCGGGACUGCAUUUGAAACUGUCAGGCUGGAGUGCAGGAGAGGUAAGUGGAAUUCCUAGUGUAGCGGUGAAAUGCGUAGAUAUUAGGAGGAACACCAGUGGCGAAGGCGGCUUACUGGACUGUAACUGACGUUGAGGCUCGAAAGCGUGGGGAGCAAACAGGAUUAGAUACCCGCGUAG